CGGCCUUUUCGCCGUAGUUGUGCGAUGGAGGUGGGUUGGCUUUGCGGCCGGGGCCGGUGGCUGGCGGUAGGGGCAAAUAAGGAGCUAGAGCCCUUCUGAUCUCUGGAGAGGCGUCUCCGGGAAGCUUAGCUGGAGGGCGGGGGCGGCCGCGGCAACGGCAUGUCUCCCGCGCCUGCGCUCACGUGGGCUGCGGGGCCUGCGCUGCGGCGGGCGCUCGGCCGUCUCGCAGGGGGGACCCAGCCACCGUGGGCCGGGGCUCAUGGAGCGCGUGUUUUUCCGGCACGGCCACCGCCGCAGUAGCCUGGGAUCCGCGAAGGCCGGGACUCGGUUAUCCGGCCCGCCGUGGGAAGUGGGCAAACGCGAGAGAACUGGUUGGCGAACGCACUGCAGAGUGAAAUCAGGGUAACCAUGAGGUUGCAAAUUGGUGAAGGAUCACCAGCAUGUUCAGUCGCUGAGUAUUGGACACAGGAGCAGUG
Molecule: long non-coding RNA, 476 nt
Organism: Propithecus coquereli (Coquerel's sifaka)
Lineage: Eukaryota; Metazoa; Chordata; Mammalia; Primates; Indriidae
Exons: 3
Source: RefSeq, a predicted model, not a curated record